GCAGUCGAGCGAACGGAUAAGGAGCUUGCUCCUUUGAAGUUAGCGGCGGACGGGUGAGUAACACGUGGGUAACCUACCUAUAAGACUGGAAUAACUUCGGGAAACCGGAGCUAAUGCCGGAUAACAUUUGGAACCGCAUGGUUCUAAAGUAAAAGAUGGUUUUGCUAUCACUUAUAGAUGGACCCGCGCCGUAUUAGCUAGUUGGUAAGGUAACGGCUUACCAAGGCAACGAUACGUAGCCGACCUGAGAGGGUGAUCGGCCACACUGGAACUGAGACACGGUCCAGACUCCUACGGGAGGCAGCAGUAGGGAAUCUUCCGCAAUGGACGAAAGUCUGACGGAGCAACGCCGCGUGAGUGAUGAAGGUUUUCGGAUCGUAAAACUCUGUUAUUAGGGAAGAACAAAUGUGUAAGUAACUGUGCACAUCUUGACGGUACCUAAUCAGAAAGCCACGGCUAACUACGUGCCAGCAGCCGCGGUAAUACGUAGGUGGCAAGCGUUAUCCGGAAUUAUUGGGCGUAAAGCGCGCGUAGGCGGUUUCUUAAGUCUGAUGUGAAAGCCCACGGCUCAACCGUGGAGGGUCAUUGGAAACUGGGAAACUUGAGUACAGAAGAGGAAAGUGGAAUUCCAUGUGUAGCGGUGAAAUGCGCAGAGAUAUGGAGGAACACCAGUGGCGAAGGCGACUUUCUGGUCUGUAACUGACGCUGAUGUGCGAAAGCGUGGGGAUCAAACAGGAUUAGAUACCCUGGUAGUCCACGCCGUAAACGAUGAGUGCUAAGUGUUAGGGGGUUUCCGCCCCUUAGUGCUGCAGCUAACGCAUUAAGCACUCCGCCUGGGGAGUACGACCGCAAGGUUGAAACUCAAAGGAAUUGACGGGGACCCGCACAAGCGGUGGAGCAUGUGGUUUAAUUCGAAGC
Molecule: ribosomal RNA, 918 nt
Filed under: uncultured bacterium
Lineage: Bacteria
Description: bacterial SSU rRNA
Rfam family: Bacterial small subunit ribosomal RNA
Source: RNAcentral